AGAGUUUUUGUUGCUGUUCUCUCUGUCUCUCUAUUUCUCUCUAUCUCCCUUCUCUCUCUCUCGCUCUAUCUCCCUCUUCGGUCUCUCUCUUUAUCUCUCUCUCAAGUCUCUAUUUCUCUCUCCAUCUCGUUUCUCUCUCGCUCUCUCUCGCUCCCCCCCCCCCUCCGAAUCUCUGUCAUGCUCAUCUCAUGACACCGUUCUCUCCCAUCUUAUUUUUUUUUUCUUCUCUCCAGUGUGGAGUGAUUGCUAUGGAAGAGGAGGACAACUGGUCAAACAUAGAGAGGAAGGAGGUCAAGAAAAGAAGAGAAGGAAGAGAAAAAAUAGACAAGAAAGAUUCCUUCUCUCCCCUAUCCUUCUCUCACCGUUUUCUACCAUCCUUACCUCAAAAAUAACGGAGGGAAAGUAACUUCAAAAGACAGUCAGGAGGGACCUGGGGUGUGAAAUCUGAGAAGAGAAGCGAGAUGAGAGAGGGAGACCUGCUCCUGUGUGUGCUAUGCCGUCCAGGAGCUGCCGGGUUAAAUCUGCUGCCACCAGACUGACACACAGACAGAUGCCCUGACCAGUCGCACUCACCUGCUGUAAACUAUGUUAUCAUGAGGGUUGCUGCUGUUGAAGUCUGAUUAAAGAAGUAUACAGAAGCGUAUAAGACCAGGUCAUGACAUGUCAAGAACUGGCAGCUGAGUAUGAAAAGGCUAUGUAGAUCCUCCUGAUCCCCCUCCAGCCUCUCAGCCAUGUAAUGAACAACUUCAAAUGGUCCCUUCUCAGAAAUACACCCACAGACACACACACACACACACACACCCACAGACACACACACACACACACACACACACACACACACACACGUUCUUAACAAAAAGGGAAUUUUCCCCAGGACAUACACUUUCCAUGAAUGUGUUGCUGUUUUUUUUUGUGUUUUUUUUGACAAGUACAGAUACUCAUCUGUAACACACACACACACACACACACAUAAAUAGUGCCUAUCUUUACACAUCACGUCUUCGCACCGUGGCUCCAUUGCCAAGUUGUUAAAGGGAUAUUUCACUCACUGAGAACGUCAUGAGUGCGUGUGGCAGAGAAAAUAAAACAGGCUUUUGUAGAGUACAAGUUUGACUUCACAUGCGUGUUGUUCUAUACAAGAUGCUCUAUUUCACUAAAACUACAUUCUGCAAAAAGCAUUUUGAUUUAUCGUUUUAAAACUUAAAAUAACUGCAAGAAAAACAGGCA
Molecule: long non-coding RNA, 1227 nt
Organism: Lampris incognitus (smalleye Pacific opah)
Lineage: Eukaryota; Metazoa; Chordata; Actinopteri; Lampriformes; Lampridae
Exons: 4
Source: RefSeq, a predicted model, not a curated record